GGCUGUUCGUGAAGCGGUACGUGGAGCUGGAGUCCUGGGAAGAGCGUGUCCCGUGGCUCGGCUUCGGCCUGGAGUCCGUAAGGGCCAGAGCUGACAGAGAGUCUUUGGGGUUCGCAUGGAUCUUUGUCGUGGACAAAAGAUCUCUGGUCUGGGUUUUACCUGCUCAGGUGUUCCUGCAGCUGGUCUAGUCUCUGCUCCACUUCUCCAUACGUGACGUCACAGUCCAGAUCCUCCUCUUCAGCGGCGCCCUGCUCCUGCGCAGCCGUGUCCACGUCUGCUUUCACUCGCUCGGCUGGCCAUCCGUCAGUCUGCAUCUCUGAAACAUGAUGAUAUAGAUUCAUUUCUCCAAAUCCCAGCGCUGAUCGGUCAGCGUUACCACGGAAACGGAUAUUUCACCGCUCCAAAAGCAGCACCUAGUGGCCGAGAAUGAAUUAGCAUUUUCAUGUCGAAUCCAUAAUAGGGGCACUUUUGCAUCUUUUGAUUUCCUCCGAACACCUGUGGCCGGCGAGAAGAGCAGAGCGACGCUGUACACGGGAAGAAACGCCUCAGGUGCGUGUGACGGGCCGCUGUCUCAGCGCCAGAGCUUGUAUUGGUGUUGUAUUGCCGUGACUUUCCUAUCGCCGGGGCUCAGGACUAAUAGAAACACUAAAGCCGGCGGUUAUCUCUCACACACACCUGCUCCUGCCGGAGCCAGAAGCGCACGCUGAUCACGGCGGCUGCGGCCAAUUUCUGUCCGAUCAGAGGCCGUGUAGAGAAAUUAGAUUGGUCCGGUACAGAUUCACCUUCAUGGAUGGCCGGACACCGAGAAGAAGUCUGAUGUGACCGGCGCGAGGCCGUGAACGAGGUUGUUCUUCAAAAGCACCGUGAAAUAGGAGGUUAGGGCAUUUACGGAGAUGUUGUUUUUUGGGUUUAUUAACCUGGAAGAGACCUUUUAAAUAAUGUGUAAAUCUGCUAAAAGUACUUUUACAGUAAAAUAGCAUAUAGAUGAGCUCAAACUGUCUAAGGUGCCAUAGCAUUUAUAAAGCAGCCUUCCUUUGGUGUUAUUAUUAUUUUAGUAUUGAGAUACUGUAAAAAUACCUUUUAUAGUUUGAUAGUUUUAAAUUCAUUAUUAACAUACUUUUUAUAUAAUAUUUUAAGUAUCAUUUUCAUUUUUUUAAAUAUAUUUUAUUUAUUUUUAUUUUAAA
Long non-coding RNA from Puntigrus tetrazona (Sumatra barb), 1184 nucleotides. RefSeq lists it as uncharacterized. The transcript is spliced from 3 exons. NCBI's taxonomy places the organism in Eukaryota, Metazoa, Chordata, Actinopteri, Cypriniformes, Cyprinidae. The record is from RefSeq and is a predicted model, not a curated record.